This 420-nucleotide ribosomal RNA is filed under the name uncultured bacterium. RNAcentral's name for it is "bacterial SSU rRNA". It matches the Rfam family "Bacterial small subunit ribosomal RNA", at positions 356 to 773 of the family's 1533-position model. The record is from RNAcentral.
AAGGAAUAUUGGGCAAUGGACGCAAGUCUGACCCAGCCAUGCCGCGUGCAGGAAGACGGCCUUAUGGGUUGUAAACUGCUUUUGUCAGGGAAUAAACCCUUGUUUGCGAACAAGGCUGAAGGUACCUGAAGAAUAAGCAUCGGCUAACUCCGUGCCAGCAGCCGCGGUAAUACGGAGGAUGCAAGCGUUAUCCGGAUUCAUUGGGUUUAAAGGGUGCGCAGGCGGACUAUUAAGUCAGAGGUGAAAUGCUACGGCUCAACCGUGGAACUGCCUUUGAUACUGCUAGUCUUGAGUUUAAUUGAAGUGGGCGGAAUGUAGCAUGUAGCGGUGAAAUGCAUAGAGAUGCUACAGAACACCGAUAGCGAAGGCAGCUCACUAAGUUACAACUGACGCUCAUGCACGAAAGCGUGGGGAUCAAAC